ACGCUAGCUACAGGCUUAACACAUGCAAGUCGAGGGGCAGCAUUUUAGUUUGCUUGCAAACUGAAGAUGGCGACCGGCGCACGGGUGAGUAACACGUAUCCAACCUACCGAUAACUCCGGAAUAGCCUUUCGAAAGAAAGAUUAAUACCGGAUAGCAUACGAAUAUCGCAUGAUAUUUUUAUUAAAGAAUUUCGGUUAUCGAUGGGGAUGCGUUCCAUUAGUUUGUUGGCGGGGUAACGGCCCACCAAGACUACGAUGGAUAGGGGUUCUGAGAGGAAGGUCCCCCACAUUGGAACUGAGACACGGUCCAAACUCCUACGGGAGGCAGCAGUGAGGAAUAUUGGUCAAUGGGCGAGAGCCUGAACCAGCCAAGUAGCGUGAAGGAUGAAGGCUCUAUGGGUCGUAAACUUCUUUUAUAUGGGAAUAAAGUUUUCCACGUGUGGAAUUUUGUAUGUACCAUAUGAAUAAGGAUCGGCUAACUCCGUGCCAGCAGCCGCGGUAAUACGGAGGAUCCGAGCGUUAUCCGGAUUUAUUGGGUUUAAAGGGAGCGUAGGUGGAUUGUUAAGUCAGUUGUGAAAGUUUGCGGCUCAACCGUAAAAUUGCAGUUGAAACUGGCAGUCUUGAGUACAGUAGAGGUGGGCGGAAUUCGUGGUGUAGCGGUGAAAUGCUUAGAUAUCACGAAGAACUCCGAUUGCGAAGGCAGCUCACUAGACUGUCACUGACACUGAUGCUCGAAAGUGUGGGUAUCAAACAGGAUUAGAUACCCUGGUAGUCCACACAGUAAACGAUGAAUACUCGCUGUUUGCGAUAUACAGUAAGCGGCCAAGCGAAAGCAUUAAGUAUUCCACCUGGGGAGUACGCCGGCAACGGUGAAACUCAAAGGAAUUGACGGGGGCCCGCACAAGCGGAGGAACAUGUGGUUUAAUUCGAUGAUACGCGAGGAACCUUACCCGGGCUUAAAUUGCAACAGAAUAUAUUGGAAACAGUAUAGCCGUAAGGCUGUUGUGAAGGUGCUGCAUGGUUGUCGUCAGCUCGUGCCGUGAGGUGUCGGCUUAAGUGCCAUAACGAGCGCAACCCUUAUCUUUAGUUACUAACAGGUUAUGCUGAGGACUCUAGAGAGACUGCCGUCGUAAGAUGUGAGGAAGGUGGGGAUGACGUCAAAUCAGCACGGCCCUUACGUCCGGGGCUACACACGUGUUACAAUGGGGGGUACAGAAGGCGGCUACCUGGUGACAGGAUGCUAAUCCCAAAAACCUCUCUCAGUUCGGAUCGAAGUCUGCAACCCGACUUCGUGAAGCUGGAUUCGCUAGUAAUCGCGCAUCAGCCAUGGCGCGGUGAAUACGUUCCCGGGCCUUGUACACACCGCCCGUCAAGCCAUGAAAGCCGGGGGUACCUGAAGUACGUAACCGCAAGGAGCGUCCUAGGGUAAAACUGGUAAUUGGGGCUAA
RNAcentral lists this ribosomal RNA (1448 nucleotides) under uncultured organism. RNAcentral's name for it is "16S ribosomal RNA". It matches the Rfam family "Bacterial small subunit ribosomal RNA". The record is from RNAcentral.